RNAcentral lists this ribosomal RNA (490 nucleotides) under uncultured bacterium. Its description in RNAcentral is "partial 16S ribosomal RNA". It matches the Rfam family "Bacterial small subunit ribosomal RNA", at positions 28 to 507 of the family's 1533-position model. The record is from RNAcentral.
GAUGAACGCUAGCUACAGGCUUAACACAUGCCAGUCGCGGGGCAGCAUGGGGGUUGCUUGCCAUCCCCGAUGGCGACCGGCGCACGGGUGAGUAACGCGUAUCCAACCUGCCCUUCACCACGGGAUAACCCGGCGAAAGUCGGACUAAUACCGUAUGUUGUCCAUUGACGGCAUCCGAUUUGGACGAAAGGCUUGGCGGUGAGGGAUGGGGAUGCGUCCGAUUAGCCUGACGGCGGGGUAACGGCCCACCGUGGCUACGAUCGGUAGGGGUUCUGAGAGGAAGGUCCCCCACACUGGAACUGAGACACGGUCCAGACUGCUACGGGAGGCAGCAGUGAGGAAGAUUGGUCAAUGGGCGUAAGCCUGAACCAGCCAAGUAGCGUGCAGGAGGACGGCCCUAGGGGUUGUAAACUGCUUUUAUGCGGGGAUAAAGUGGCCCACGUGUGGGCUUUUGCAGGUACCGCAUGAAUAAGGACCGGCUAAUUCCGUG